MicroRNA precursor from Petromyzon marinus (sea lamprey), 79 nucleotides. Ensembl annotates it as pma-mir-199a. Its record names the gene pma-mir-199a. The record is from Ensembl. Lineage: Eukaryota; Metazoa; Chordata; Hyperoartia; Petromyzontiformes; Petromyzontidae.
GUUCCGUCUCCCCAGUGUUCAGACUACCUGUUCAGGAGGUUAAUGUUGUACAGUAGUCUGCACAUUGGUUAGACUGAGC